UACGUAGGGAGCAGGCGUUGUCCGGAAUCAUUGGGCGUAAAGCGCGCGUAGGUGGCUUCGUAAGUCCGUUGUGAAAGUCAAAGGCUCAACCUUUGAAAGCCGAUGGAUACUGCAGGGCUAGAGUCCGGAAGAGGCGAGUGGAAUUCCUGGUGUAGCGGUGGAAUGCGCAGAUAUCAGGAGGAACACCAAUAGCGAAGGCAGCUCGCUGGGACGGUACUGACGCUAAGGCGCGAAAGCGUGGGGAGCGAACAGG
This 253-nucleotide ribosomal RNA is filed under the name uncultured bacterium. RNAcentral describes it as "partial 16S ribosomal RNA". It matches the Rfam family "Bacterial small subunit ribosomal RNA", at positions 524 to 776 of the family's 1533-position model. The record is from RNAcentral.